This 621-nucleotide ribosomal RNA is filed under the name Triticum aestivum (bread wheat). RNAcentral's name for it is "partial small subunit ribosomal RNA". Lineage: Eukaryota; Viridiplantae; Streptophyta; Magnoliopsida; Poales; Poaceae. The record is from RNAcentral.
AUGUUACUUGAUGUUGUAUCAGUAUACAACAAGGUUACUGAUCUUACGGAUAAAAAGCAGGCUGUUAAGAUCAGUAUUGAUAAAGUACAGGCUUUCAGAGAGUACUGCCCCUCAAGCAACGAUCCCAGUACUAUCCUGGAGUGUGUAUGGGUGAAAGAUAAAUUUGUUUUGCAUGAAAAGACCAAAGCUAGCAGUCAGAAAACCCAAGAUGAGGAUCUGAAGUCAUGCACUCCAGAUUCAUCAAUCCAGUAUGAGACCCCUGGACUUGUUAGUGAAGAGAUGGAAAACCUUGAUGGAGCAAACACGCCAGCCAAACAUAUCAGAUAUGAACAUUUGGACAUAGAUUCUAAUGCUUCUCUGACUGACCAACCAGAUAAAGCCACCCAUUGCGGUGAUGCUGGAGAUUCUUGCAGUGGGAGGCAACUACCAAAUGAUCAAAACGCUCCAGGAUCUCUUCUUGGCACACCCGCUGCUGUGCCGACUCCACGCAGAGAUGUCCAGCCUGAUACGAGGAAGAGAGUGGCAUUCAUCGCCGUGGGGAAAACAAAAGUCACCGUGACACCGCCUGAAACAUCAUCAUCAUCCGUAGUUACCAAGAAGCAAAGGGUGGACAUGAUUUGA